Molecule: transfer RNA, 64 nt
Filed under: Actinomycetes bacterium
Lineage: Bacteria; Bacillati; Actinomycetota; Actinomycetes
Description: Actinobacteria bacterium tRNA-Phe
Rfam family: tRNA (bases 9-64)
About the family: Transfer RNA (tRNA) molecules are approximately 80 nucleotides in length. Their secondary structure includes four short double-helical elements and three loops (D, anti-codon, and T loops).
Source: RNAcentral
GGCGCGACGCGGCGGUAGAGCACACGGCUGAAAACCGUGGUGUCGCCGGUUCGAUUCCGGCCCU